This is a long non-coding RNA of Mesocricetus auratus (golden hamster), 2036 nucleotides long. RefSeq lists it as uncharacterized. The transcript is spliced from 10 exons. NCBI's taxonomy places the organism in Eukaryota, Metazoa, Chordata, Mammalia, Rodentia, Cricetidae. The record is from RefSeq and is a predicted model, not a curated record.
UGGUCUGCCUGUCUGUUUUUGUGCCAAUACGAAGCUAUUUUCAUUACUAUAGCUCUAUAGUCAGUAACGGUGAUGGCUCCAGAAGAUCCUUUAUUGUACAUGGUUGUCUUGACUACCCUGGGUUUUUUUCCAUAUAAAGUUGAGUAUUGUUCAUUAAUUCACCAUUGAAUUAAACUCCCUGGAAGUCUGAGUGGGGAAAGGGAUGAGAAGUUAGAACAAAUGAGGGACAGCACUGAGGAUGUUUGAAAAGGCUAAAAGGAAAAAUAUGAGAUCAAAUAUAUAUGCAUAUAUUCAUACAAAUGUGUACAGGGAAUUAUCCCAGAAGCCAUCCAUAUAAGUAUGCUGUGUAAGCUAAGCAGUGUUCUCUCAGGAAGCCAUGACACACAGCACCUGUGAUUAACAGUCAUUCUGUCUUCCUAGGUACUCAGAAUCCCCCAGUUAUUAACGAGAUUUUUUUUAGAGAGGAAGAGUUCGAACCUCAUAAUGAGUCAUUAAUGUUGGCAGUAAUCACCAUGCCUUUUCAAUGAUGAGGAAGGAAAAUAAAGACAUGUGCCUCCAUGUGACAUGAUGUUACCCUUAUAAUGUCUCUGUUUCCAUAAUUUCAGGGAGCCUGGGAAGAAUACGAAAGUUAUUUUCCUAGUGGUUUACAUGUUUCAGAGUCUAAACCUACGCCCACUUCUACAUUGGAAGGCAGUAAUGCUUUUGAGGUACAGGACUGGGAGCUGCGGAAAAUUUCAAGUACCCUCUUUCCGGUGGUGAAUGUAUUGUACGUAGCCCCACCUAAAUCUUCAGAUAAAGAAACUGUUAAAAGGAAGAGGAGGAGGAGGAGGAGGCGCUACUAUUGAUAAAAGCAUCCAGCGUCGCCCCAGCUCAAAAUAUCUUUUAUAAAUGGUGACCAUCAAUAGCUGGAGGCUGAUAAGUAUUAACCAAUUAUUAUAAAGACCCCAUGAUCCCAGAACCUACUUUUUCCACGACAUAGAAUCCAGGACAACAGCUUUAUCACCUGUUAAACCGCUGAAAGUGGAGUCAGGCAUCUCCCAAGCCUUCUGGAAAGAACUCACCGGCUUCAUCUGCUUGGGCUGCCCCACAGACCCAGUCACCAUAAGCUGUGGCCACAGCUUCUGCCGGGCCUGCCUCCACCUUUCCUGGAAAGACAUCAAAGUUACUGUCCAUUGCCCUAUGUGUAGGACACCAUGCCAGGAAAAGGACUCCAAAACCAACAUUUUCCUGAAGAAGGUGGUGUCCAUUGCCUUGCCAAACAAGCCUAGCUCUUGAAGUCCUUGAGCUUCAAGAGCAUGAGUACAUGACCCACAAGGAUAUCAAGCAGAUUUCCUGUGGGGAGAACAGGAUCUACCUCUGUGAACGCUGCUCUGUCUCCCAUGAGCACAGUGUUCACACACAGCCCUAUUGGAGCAGCUCCUGAGGAGUGAGUCAGUGCAGUUGAGCAUGCUCCAGAUUACAAAACCAGAACUCAGUGCCCUACCCAUCACCAAACUGGCACAAUAGUGCAACUGCUAACAAGUGCACAUUUUCUUUGAAGAUAUAAUCAUGCUUCAAUACAAGAUGAACUUUUGUCAUGUGAAGAGUCAGCUUCAACUUUACCAUUAGGACCCAUCUGUGGAUCCUAUUGGAUGCUAUGUGGCCUUCGGGACUGGGCUGUACAAGUCUGUACAGAUUUCUGAUCCAGAAGGAGAAAACAACUGGUUGAAUCUGAGGAUGUGUUUCUUCUCACAUCUUCUUCUCUAAUCAUUACAGUCUCCUCACCACAUGCCCCGUAAUCCAUCUCUACAUAGAGAAGCCACUGGGACGGGUUGGUGUGCUCCUUGAUUGUAGUGAUAGAUGGUGUUGCCCAGAGUUCCUGGAUAUACAAGUAUCCUCCUGGCACCUUAAAUUAUUCUGUCAAGCCUUUCUUCUCAACCAAAUACACAUAAUCACAGGAAAAUAUAAUCCUAAUCUUGUACUUAAGUGGUUUUUGUUAAGUAUGUGCUUUGUAUUGCUUUUAUUGCUAGUAAAUAAUAAAUACUAUUGAAUAUAAA